Molecule: unclassified non-coding RNA, 337 nt
Filed under: Hevea brasiliensis (rubber tree)
Lineage: Eukaryota; Viridiplantae; Streptophyta; Magnoliopsida; Malpighiales; Euphorbiaceae
Source: RNAcentral
AAAGAGGAAUGGCUGGCAAGAAAUAUGUAGGGGUAUAAAUAAAUCACUGAACCUAAUUCUUAAAGCAGAAAACAAGUUGAACCUGUAGAAGUGGUUAUGUUAAUCAGUAGCAGUAGUAACCUAGCAUCGCCAUUUCAUGAUUUGAAUUGGAACGUCAGAUGGAAAACAACAAAUUAAGUGUGAUCUUUAUGCAAUAUUUGUCAAGCUUGGAUACUAAAUGCAUAUUUUCACAAGUCUUCAGCACUAGUUCCAAGUUUGGUACAUUUCAUAAUGGUUCUUGGUUAGUACUUGCUGCAAUCAACGUCGGAGAUGGUGAAAUUAGACCAUUUUAGAAGGA